RNAcentral lists this long non-coding RNA (8428 nucleotides) under Homo sapiens (human). Its description in RNAcentral is "non-protein coding TMEM254-AS1:14". Lineage: Eukaryota; Metazoa; Chordata; Mammalia; Primates; Hominidae. The record is from RNAcentral.
ACGCCUCACCGCGAAGUAGCCCAGCCCCAGGACUGUGACCAGAGAGGGCAAGGGUCUUGCUGGACGGAAAUAGGCGGUAGCCGCAUUGCUGGCCUCCGACUUCACCAUCCUCUUGAAAAACCCAGACACAGAGUUGGCUGGGAGCUCCCCAGCCGUCCCCGCCCCCAUAUAAGAAAAGCCUGGCUAGCCGGUUUCUCAGGGCCCUGGGCGCCCGCCCAAGACCCUGGCGGACCAGUAUGCUUGCUCUCAUUGCGGAGUCUGGUCCCCUCCCCUCCGCUCCUAGCGCGCGGGAGUCGGGAUUGUGCUUGCACGACUUCCCCCGGCCCGCGGCCUGUGAGCCCAGGUCCUGGGGUGAACCGAGCGCUCGCUCGUUCGUCAGACCGUAGCGCUCCAGCGGCUGUCCUUACUGUGUAGUAGCCAAAGCUGAGGGUGAUGACUGUGAACCAGAACAGACUGCCUCGCUGAAAAGUCACUUGGAACUCUUCUGUGGCAUCUGAAGCAGAUGGACGAAGCCAAGAGGGCCGAGAGUAUCUCAGCACCUAGAAAUGGACAAGGCUGGUUAUUAGAACAAAGAUUUCGCAGGUGGUGAGUCUCAAAGGCGAAGCUGAAUGGUAGUAUAAUUUUUUUUAAAUUUUAAUUAUUAAAAAAUAUUUUUUGGAGGGGAUAGAGUCUUGCUGUCACCCAGGCUGGAGUGCAGUGGCACUAUCUCAACUCACUGCAACCUCCGACUCCCAGGUUCAAGCGAUUAUCAUGCCUCAGCCUCCUGAGUAGCUGGGAUUACAGGCAUGUGCCACCAUACCUGGCUAAUUUUUGUAUUUUUAGUAGAGACGGGGUUUUGCCAUGUUGGUCAGGCCGGUCUCGAACUCCUGACCUGAAGUGAUCCAUCUGUCUUGGCCUCCCAAAAUUCUGGGAUUACAGAUGUGAGCCACCACUCCUGGUCUGAAUGGGAGUUUAAUAGUAGUUAGGUCAUGAAACUCCCUGCCAGGCAUUCUAAUACAUUCUGACUUUGCUUUGCAGGUGAUAAUUGGGAGCUAUGUAUAUAUUUUUGUUUUGUUUUGUUUUGUUUUUUGAUACAGAGUCUCGCUCUGUCGCCCAGGCUGGAGUGCAGUGGCAGGAUCUCAGCUCACUGCAAGCUCCGCCUCCCGGGUUCACGCCAUUCUCCUGCCUCAGCCUCCCAAGUAGCUAGGAAUACAGGCGCCCGCCACCACGCCCGGCUAAUUUUUUGUAUUUUUAGCAGAGACGGGGUUUCACCGUGUUAGCCAGGAUGGUCUCGAUCUCCUGACCUCGUGAUCCACCUGCCUCGGCCUCCCAAAGUGCUGGGAUUACAGGCCUGAGCCACCUCGCCCGGCCAGGAGUUACGUAUUUUUAAAAGUUCACCAGAACGUUGAUUUUCAGAGACUGCAUUUGUGCUAUUCACAGCUGCAUUGCAGGUCUCAAUACAUAGCACUCAGUAUAAGCUGGGCCCUUACUGUUUCGCGAUAUUUUGAAAAAGGAUUAAGGACUCAGUGGACAUCCACCAAAGCCGAGCUUGAUAAAGAAUCUGGGCCAGGGCCGGGUGUGGUGGCUCACGCCUGUAAUCCCACCACUUUGGGAGGCCGAGGUGGUUGGAUCACGUGGUCAGGAGUUCGAGACUAUCCUGGCUAACAGUGAAACCCCCGUCUCUAUUAAAAAUGCAAAAAAAAAUUAGCCGGGCGUGGUGACGGGCACCUGUAGUCCCAGCUACUCAGGAGGCUGAGGCAGGAGAAUUGCUUGAACCCGGGAGGUGGAGGUUGCAGUGAGCCGAGAUCAUGCUACUGCACUCCAGCCUGGGCAACAGAACAAUACUCCGUCUCAAAAAAAAAAAAAAAAAAAAAAAAAAAAAAAAAAAAAGGAAAGAAUCUCACACCUGUAAGUAACCCUGCACUUUGGGAGGCUGAGGUGGGCGGAUCACCUGAGGUCAAGAGUUGGAGACCAGCCUGGCCAACAUUGUGAAGCCCUGUUUCUACUAAAAAUACAAUUAGCCGGGCGUUGUGGCUUGCGCCUGUAAUCCAAGCUACUCAGGAGGCUGAGAUGGGAUAAUCGAUUGAACCAGGGAGGCGGAGGUUGCAGUGAGCCGAGAUCGCGCCACUGCACUCCAGCCUGGGCAACAGCAAGAAGAAAAAAAAUCUGAAGUAGGGGAGCUUUCAAGGAAGACAAAGAUUGGCUAACAAUGUUCGAUGACUUAGGAAAGAAGAUUAACCGUAUGAUCGGGCAAUUUAGGACCUGAUUUGUUAACUUUUACCAAUGAUGUCUAAACAAUGCAGUGAGAACAGAGAGACUGGAGUUGAGAAAAGAAUGAAAAGAAAGAAAGUGAAGGUGCCUGGUAAAAAUGUUUUUGGAAGCAGCUUGAUGGGGGCGGACGGGGAAGGUCGCCACCUAGUGUGAUUUCAAGGUUACUGAGAAUAAAGCACGAGUGGGCGUGGUGGCUCAAGCCUGUAAUCCCAGCGUUUGGGAGGCCAAUGUGGGUGGAUCACUUGAGCUCAGGAGUUCGAGACCGGCCUCGGCGAAGUUGCGUAAACCUAGUGUCUACAAAAAAUACAAAAAUUAGCUGGGUGUGGUGGCGCGUGCCUGUAAUCCGAGCUACUCGCGAGACUGAGGCAGGAGAAUUGCUUGAACCUGGGAGACGGAGCUUGCAGUGUGCCGAGAUCCUGCCACUGUACUCCAGCCUGGGUGACAGAGCAAGACUCGGUCUCAAAAAAUAAUAAAUCAACAACCACAAAGCGGGCCCGAAUUACUGGGAAGACAAAAAAGCCAAAGAACUCAGCAUAGGCCCAAUCUAAUUUUGGUUUGCUCUACUCUCUCAGUCGUUGAUAUUCUCCAAGACUUCCAGCUCCCAAAAUAUUUCUUCAACUACCCCAAAGCAUCUGGCACUGCUUGAAAGGACCUGCUGGAGUCCCAGGAUGAAAGGAGGUUAUGUUAACCAUCCUUGCGCGGAAAUGAAGAAAACCACGAGUUGUUCCUCCUGCUUUUUCCUGUUUUUUUUUUCUGUUGUUGUUGUUGUUGUUGCAGAGGCGCGGUCCACCCUGGAAUGAAGUGAGAAACCGAAAUCAUUUGGGGCUGUUUCCUUCCUGCAAGUCAGCCAUUACCUUGCCCAAUUCAAACUUUAUUUUCACCUGCUUUAAUUCCUGCUAGUUAUUUUCCUCUUCUUAGAGUUUGACCUCAGGUAAAUUAGCUAAUCUCUCUGUGCUUCAGUAGUCAUCUGUAUAAUAAUAUAUAUCUCCGUAAGGCACUGUAAGAUUUAGGUAAGAUAAUGUCUGAAAACUCUGUUCUUUGGGCCGGCCAUAUAAUGAGUCCUCAUAAAUUGUAGCAAUUAGUUUAAGUAGAACGAAGAAUAUAUGUAUCACUCUGAAUUAAGAUGGAUUAAUAUAAAACACUUGUCGAGGAUGAGCUGCAUUUUCCAAACCUGGAGGACAAAAAACCCUCCAAGUGUUAUUACCUUAUUCCACACAUUUGGGAAAGUACAAUGUCCUAGAGUUGUGAAAAAAGCAGAAAAGCCCACAGUUUCCUUGUCUGUAAUAUGGAGGUUUUGGUAUCUCAUAGGGUAGUUUUUAGAAUAAGAUGAAUUAGCAAAUGGUUUAAUGUUUAUAAAACAUUAGUUUUAUAUCUUAGAAUGUCCUUAUUCAGUGUUAAUCUCUGGUCACUCCUGCCUCCAAUCUCAGUAUUCUGUAAGCAAUGAUAUAUCAGGUGAUGUGGAUCUUCUGUGAGCCUGACAAGGCUUCCGUCCUCACAGAGCGUGCAGUCUAUAAAUGUGAAAGUGAUGGCCACAGGCAGGAGGUUCAAGGUCAGACUGCCUGGGUCAGAGGCUCACUCUGUGCUCUAAACCUUUCUGUCCCCCUGUCUUCAAGUCUAAGUAGGAUUAAAAUAGGAUGCACAUUAUAAGGGUGUUGUAGGGAUUAAAUAAGCAAAUUGUUUUCACUGGGUGCUCAUUGAGUGAAUGGGAUUUGAAAAGUUAGGUAAAGCCAUCAAGAGGUGUGUCUAGGGCAAGGCUGUGCCUAGGGUGGGGCUGUGUCUGGGGCGGGGCUGUGUCUAGGGUGUGUGAGGGAGGGCGUCUCAGGGUUAUGUUUGAUGAUUGCUGCUUCAGAGUUAAUCACUUUAUCAUUCAGAACCUGGACUAGAGAUUCAUCUGAACUUCCAACGGUGAGUUUCUGUGGUGGACACCAAAGCGUGUUUCUUUUGCAGGAGGCUCCUUACCUAAUGCAUUAGUGUUUUGUAUUAAUAGGUGUUUGGGCUUUCACUUUUUUUUUUUUCUUUUGAGACAGGGUCUUACUCAGUUGCCCCGGCUGGAGUUGGGGAAUCUUGGCUCACUGCAACCUCUGCCUCCUGGACUCAAAGCUAUAUUCUCCAGCCUCAGCCUCCCAAGUAGCUGGGACCACAGGCAUGCACCACCACACCUGGCUAAUUUUGGUUUUUUUGUAGAGACAGGGUUUUGCUAUGUUGCCCAGGCUGGUCUCAAACUCCUGAACUCAAAGCAAUCUGCUCACCUCAGCCUCACAAAGUGCUGGGAUUACAGGCAUGAGCCACCCUGCUAGGCCUGACUUUCACCUUUCAAAAGUUCAAGCUUGUAGGCUGGGAACAGCUGAUUUCAUCAGAGUAAUUGUGUGUGGUUGCCGUAUGGUAGAAUUGGGUAUAGGAUUUUACUAGAGGCUCAGGUAUUUAAAUCUUAACCCAUCAUAGCAUUAAGAGAGACUUUAUAUUUUAGAGAUACAUAUGGAUGUAUUUUCGGGUGAAUGACAUGUCUGAGAUUCACUUCAAAAUAAUGAGGGUGGGGUGUCAAGGAGAUAAAAUUGGCCAGGUAUUGCUAUAUAUUAAAUUUCAGUGAUAAGAUCAUCAGGCUAAUUAUACGCUUCCGUCUACUUUCCUGUAUGGUUAAAUGUAAACAGGGUGAAUACUGAAAACAAAAACGUCCUCAAAGCAAAAGAGCUAUACUGGAAGAAUUGUAGAAAUGGCCCUAGGCAUUUUUUUCCCUUUUGUUCACAGAUUUGAUAUUUCAUGAAAUUCAGAAAUAAUUUGGAGCUUUUCAAACCUGGGAUAUGGAAGAAACUGACACUCCUGUUCUCUGGGAAGAGGCAAGAAUCUGCAUCAAAGAGCCCUGGAAGCAAUCAUGGCUCAACUGUGAUGCCUUUAGAACAUGAAGUCCUCCAAGAAGAUGCCAUAGGAAUGGCCUCCAUCCCAGGGCCUGGAGAGCAGCCAGAGACAAGAAGAGUAGCCCAGGAGGGCACUGGCAGUCAGUGCUACACUGUGGCCUGUCAGUCUCAGAGCCAGGAUUUAAUCACUGGAUCUCCCAUUAACCAGUCAUAAUGAAGUAAGAACAAGAAGAUGGGGAAGAGGAAGUGUAAAACCGUGGCUUAAAUUUGCCAAGGAUAAGCUGAGUGUACUUCAGCAGUCAUUUGCACAGAAUCCUUAUCCUAAUUUUACAACCAGGGAAAAACUGGCUGGACAGUCUCUUGUCCUGUGUUUGUAAUUGAUAACUGGUUUCAAAAUAAAAGCCAGACCACCACUUAGAGAGAGACACAGAAUGUUCACUGCCAGGGAACUGCAUGAUUCCUCUGCCAAAGGCCACCCAUUUACAAGAAUCCAGGAAAACCAGGUGGAAUCUCCCAAUGAUGACCCUGAGCAGAACUUCUUGUACCCAGGAAGUUCUACUGGGUGGAGCUGGCCACUCUUCCGUGGAGACACAGGGGACUCCCAAUUAACAUGAUGGCUCAAAUAACUGUAGCCUUAUGGAUUAAAAGGAAACUAAGCUGUGAUUUGGAGUAUCCAGGUGAUACAGAAAAUGGCCCUUGUCGAUGUAGAUCAGCAUUAUUUCCUUAUCCUUCUGCAUCUCCUCCUCAGUAUUCUGAAAGGGACAAGCCUGAGAUGGGGGAAAGCCAGCAUGCAAGGCCCUCCCCUUUGUGCUGUGUUCAUGGUGUGCACGGAGAGAGGCAGCAGCAGGAGGAACAGAAAGGUUAUUUUCUUUACUGACUCUUUCAAGGACAUCAGCAGAAUGGUUGGGAAUGUCAUCAUGAGCAGCCUCAGCCUCAGAAUUACCAGGAGAAGCUGGUCUUCCAGGAUCAGGUUCUAAUGUAUAUGAGUCACAGGAUUUAGGGAAGCAGGCACUUUCCCUUCAGUCCCAGCAGCAUGGUUGAUGUUCCCAAGUAAUGGAGAGUCCCUGUGCUCUCAGUUGUGGCACACACCUUUGCAAAUAGUGAUCAGAUCUCCACAAACGCCUCUUGGGUAAGAUAUGCAGCAACAUAGCUGGCUGCAGAGCAACCCAGUUCCCAAAUCCAGCAGCUCUUGGAUGAGAAGUCUGCAAGUGUUUACUGCUGGGACCAGGACUGUGUUUCUAGGAAAUGGUGCUAGGCUUCAGAGAGCAUCAUCCACAGGUCAUCCCACAACCAUCCACACAGAAGCCUGAGGAAAAGGGCUCUGCAGAGCUUGCACAUAAAGAUGCUGAACUCAGGAAGGCUCUGUGAGCUGCUGGUCUCUUCUGGUAGGGCAGCAGUGUCCUGAGAAGGUGGAGCUAGAGUAUGGAGAACAAAACUAACAAGCACCAAGGCAGCAAGCAAGGCAACCCCCAAAUGACAGCAGUUGCCAAAUCCAAAGCAAUCUGUGCUUCAGAAGACAGAGGCUCUGCACAGUCCCUGUCUCAGACAUUGUCUCCUCCUUAGAAGAUACCUAACAACAGCACUGUGGGAGGCUGAGGUGGGUGGAUCACCAGGUCAGGAGAUCAAGACCAUCCUUGAUCUUUAGUAGAGACGGUGAAACACUGUCUCUACUAAAAAAUACAAAAAAAAAUUAGCUAGCCGUGGCGGCGGGCACCUGUAGUCUCAACUAUUUGGGAGGCUGAGGCAGGAGAAUGGCCUGAACCCGGGAGGCAGAGCUUGCAGUGAGCUGAGAUUGCGCCACUGCACUCCAGCCUGGGCAACAGAGUGAGACUCCAUCUCAAAAAAAAAAAAAAAAAAAAAAAAAAAAGAUACCUAACAAGCAGUACAAGAAUAUGAAGGACCCCACUGCCCAGACUUUGUAUGGAGGGGUGUCUAAGGUGGCUACAGCAAAGCUGUCAUCUCCAUCGACCGGGACAGCAUCUCCAGCCAUGAUGUGUGGCCUGCUGGAACAGCAGCCAUGUGUCCUUUCACAGACAGCCCACCAAAGCUCUGACUGUGAAGGACAUCCCAACAUCAGCCUAGCCUGCAUACACUUAAGGCAUAGAAUCACCUGAGGCUUCUCCGUUGAAGACAGGGACUCCCGAUGGAGUUGCAGCCCCAGCUUUGCACUGUAAAGAGCCCCAGGGGGCUUCUGUGCUAGAGCAGGUGUGCAGACCCCUCCUCACCCCCUUCACUGAGAGCUGCUGCCUGGAACCAGUGUUUUGACUGAGUCACCUCUGGACGUGGGCCCACAAGAUCUGAGAGUGCCCAGACGAGAAGUUGAAUGCCUUGUGUUGACCUGAGUGUUUGGAAAAAAGCCCCAAACUUUGAAACAAUUUUCAUAAUUUUGAGCUUCAGGAUGUGGAAUCACUUCUCAAGUAUUCUGGAGUUCUGUCCAUCAGAGCGGGUCCUGCCAAUGCUGCCCUGUGCAGCGCUUCAGGCUGCAUCCCUCCCACUAGGGGGCGCCUUUCACAUAGUGGCGCCUGCCUUCUAGAGGAGCAACAUUUCCUGAACUGCAGGGUUCCCUCGGGGCUUUGUGUAAAACACAUCCACUGCAUAGAAUUUGUGUUAUUUCCAUUUUGUUUUCUUGACAAUAUUUAAUUAAUUACAAAAUGAUGUAUGUUAUGAUAGUUUAAGCAAUACAGAGAGUAACCAAACAAAAGCUUGGUCUUUUAUUCUCGCACUCUGAAUUUACAGUCCUGAAAACUCUAAACUCAUCAUAUAAUCUAUAUUGUAAAGACUUUGAUAAUCCCUUCCCUUGCCUUUCCUUUCCCCAUUCCCCCUUCCCCUUCCUUCUUCUACAUUGUAUGAUGUUUUUCAUAUUUACAUUCUAACCAAUUGUGUCAUGUGAUACUAAUUUGCAGAAUAAAGCAUGUUUUGCACAUAUUUCCAAGUCAUAUAACAUGCAGACAUACUUCAUUUUGUAAAUAUCUUCCUUCUCUUACUAUAAGAUUGAGAAUAGGUAAAGAGCAACUCUCCAAUGCAGGUGAUGAGUGUGAUUUGCACUAUCACUUUGGACAGCCAAUUGGAAUAUUUAUUGAAGUCAUAGAUGCCCAGCAAUUCUGUUACUGGAUGUGUCUCAUAGACAAACUCUUGGACAUUCUUAUAGAACACUGAGCCCAAAGAAGACACAUCAUAUAAUGUAAGAAGCUAGGACAGCUUAAAAAAAAAAGGCCUAGAUCUGUGUAAUUGUGUGAGUGUUCUCGGACAUACUGUUUGUAAAAAAUCGAGUUAUUGAGUAGUUUGAUAAUAUGAUAAUCAUGAAAAUAAAGGAUAAAGCAGCGAGU